This 345-nucleotide ribosomal RNA is filed under the name Triticum aestivum (bread wheat). RNAcentral describes it as "partial small subunit ribosomal RNA". Lineage: Eukaryota; Viridiplantae; Streptophyta; Magnoliopsida; Poales; Poaceae. The record is from RNAcentral.
AUGCCCAGCGCCAACACCCGGUACCGCGGAGAAUCGUGGCGUGGAGCUCGCAAGGAGGACACCACCAACAUCAACAUCAUCAAGCUGGACCAGAGGCAUGGAGUUCGCGAGGAUGUCGUCGCGUGCCGGGUAGGACGACGGAGGCAUGGAGCUCGCGGGACAUCACCACCAAUGUCUACCUCGUCAAGAUGGAGCCCACGACACGGAGCCAAGAAGAUAACACACACCCUUGGUGCUGUCCGUGACCUGGAGGAGAAGAUGGUGCCACAUGACGGUCUCCAUGACCCGGAGCCCAUGAAGAUGAGGCGUGAUGGCGAAGAGGCGACGUCACUUUGCCAACACUAA